GGUUAAGUUAAUAAGGGCGCACGGUGGAUGCCUUGGCACUAGGAGCCGAAGAAGGACGGCACUAACACCGAUAUGCCUCGGGGAGCUGUAAGUGAGCUGUGAUCCGGGGAUUUCCGAAUGGGGAAACCCACUGUUCGUAAUGGAGCAGUAUCCAUGUGUGAAUACAUAGCACAUGAGAAGGCAGACUCAGGGAACUGAAACAUCUAAGUACCUGAAGGAAGAGAAAGCAAAUGCGAUUCCCCAAGUAGCGGCGAGCGAAACGGGAUCAGCCCAAACCAGAAGGCUUGCCUUCUGGGGUUGUAGGACACUCUAUACGGAGUUACAAAGGAACGGAUUAAGCGAAGCGACCUGGAACGGUCCGCAAGAUAGGGUAAUAGCCCCGUAGCUGAAAGUUCGUUCCCUCCAGAGUGGAUCCUGAGUACGGCGGAACACGAGAAAUUCCGUCGGAAUCCGGGAGGACCAUCUCCCAAGGCUAAAUACUCCCUAGUGACCGAUAGUGAACCAG
RNAcentral lists this ribosomal RNA (505 nucleotides) under Streptococcus pneumoniae. RNAcentral's name for it is "partial 23S ribosomal RNA". It matches the Rfam family "Bacterial large subunit ribosomal RNA", at positions 1 to 498 of the family's 2925-position model. Lineage: Bacteria; Bacillati; Bacillota; Bacilli; Lactobacillales; Streptococcaceae. The record is from RNAcentral.